Molecule: ribosomal RNA, 1517 nt
Filed under: Grimontia hollisae CIP 101886
Lineage: Bacteria; Pseudomonadati; Pseudomonadota; Gammaproteobacteria; Vibrionales; Vibrionaceae
Description: Bacterial large subunit ribosomal RNA
Rfam family: Bacterial large subunit ribosomal RNA
Source: Rfam by way of RNAcentral
GUUAAUAUUCCCGUACUGCUGAUAACUGCGAUGGGGGGACGGAGAAGGCUAGGUGGGCCUCGCGACGGUUGUCGAGGUUCAAGUGCGUAGGUAGGUGAGUUAGGCAAAUCCGGCUUGCUAUAUACUGAGACACGAUGUCGAGACACCACGGUGUUGAAGUCAUUGAUGCCCUGCUUCCGGGAAAAGCCUCUAAGCUUCAGGUUAUCAGUAACCGUACCCCAAACCGACACAGGUGGUCGGGUAGAGAAUACCAAGGCGCUUGAGAGAACUCGGGUGAAGGAACUAGGCAAAAUGGUACCGUAACUUCGGGAGAAGGUACGCUGCCCGCGGUGAAGUCCCUGGCGGAUGGAGCUAUGGGCAGUCGCAGAUACCAGGUGGCUGCAACUGUUUAUUAAAAACAUAGCACUGUGCAAACUCGAAAGAGGACGUAUACGGUGUGACGCCUGCCCGGUGCUGGAAGGUUAAUUGAUGGGGUUAUCCUUAGGGAGAAGCUCUUGAUCGAAGCCCCAGUAAACGGCGGCCGUAACUAUAACGGUCCUAAGGUAGCGAAAUUCCUUGUCGGGUAAGUUCCGACCUGCACGAAUGGCGUAAUGAUGGCCACGCUGUCUCCACCCGAGACUCAGUGAAAUUGAAAUCGCAGUGAAGAUGCUGUGUACCCGCGGCUAGACGGAAAGACCCCGUGAACCUUUACUACAGCUUGGCACUGAACAUUGAGCCUACAUGUGUAGGAUAGGUGGGAGGCUUUGAAGCGGUGACGCCAGUUGCCGUGGAGCCAUCCUUGAAAUACCACCCUUGUAUGUUUGAUGUUCUAACUUAGCCCCAUUAUCUGGGGUGAGGACAGUGUCUGGUGGGUAGUUUGACUGGGGCGGUCUCCUCCCAAAGCGUAACGGAGGAGCACGAAGGUGGGCUAAUCACGGUCGGACAUCGUGAGGUUAGUGCAAUGGCAAAAGCCCGCUUGACUGCGAGAAUGACGGUUCGAGCAGGUGCGAAAGCAGGUCAUAGUGAUCCGGUGGUUCUGAAUGGAAGGGCCAUCGCUCAACGGAUAAAAGGUACUCCGGGGAUAACAGGCUGAUACCGCCCAAGAGUUCAUAUCGACGGCGGUGUUUGGCACCUCGAUGUCGGCUCAUCACAUCCUGGGGCUGAAGUCGGUCCCAAGGGUAUGGCUGUUCGCCAUUUAAAGUGGUACGCGAGCUGGGUUUAGAACGUCGUGAGACAGUUCGGUCCCUAUCUGCCGUGGGCGUUGGAGAAUUGAGAGGGGCUGCUCCUAGUACGAGAGGACCGGAGUGGACGAACCUCUGGUGUUCGGGUUGUCACGCCAGUGGCAUUGCCCGGUAGCUAAGUUCGGAAUUGAUAACCGCUGAAAGCAUCUAAGCGGGAAGCGAGCCUCGAGAUGAGUUCUCCCUAAGGCUAAAAGCCUUCUAAAGGGUUGUUGGAGACGACGACGUAGAUAGGUCAGGUGUGUAAGUGCUGUGAGGCAUUGAGCUAACUGAUACUAAUUGCCCGUGAGGCUUAACCCU